UGGGGAAUCUUGGACAAUGGGCGCAAGCCUGAUCCAGCCAUGCCGCGUGAGUGAUGAAGGCCUUAGGGUUGUAAAGCUCUUUUUGGCGGGGACGAUAAUGACGGUACCCGCAGAAUAAGUCCCGGCUAACUUCGUGCCAGCAGCCGCGGUAAUACGAAGGGGACUAGCGUUGUUCGGAAUCACUGGGCGUAAAGCGCACGUAGGCGGAUUUGUAAGUCAGGGGUGAAAUCCCGGGGCUCAACCUCGGAACUGCCUUUGAUACUGGCUGUCUCGAGGUCGAGAGAGGUUGGUGGAAUUCCUAGUGUAGAGGUGAAAUUCGUAGAUAUUAGGAAGAACACCAGUGGCGAAGGCGGCCAACUGGCUCGAUACUGACGCUGAGGUGCGAAAGCGUGGGGAGCAAACAGGAUUAGAUACCCAUGUAGUCCCUGAGCGGGCUGGCAAGGCGCAU
This 448-nucleotide ribosomal RNA is filed under the name uncultured bacterium. RNAcentral's name for it is "bacterial SSU rRNA". It matches the Rfam family "Bacterial small subunit ribosomal RNA", at positions 355 to 825 of the family's 1533-position model. The record is from RNAcentral.